Molecule: small nucleolar RNA, 128 nt
Filed under: Sorex araneus (European shrew)
Lineage: Eukaryota; Metazoa; Chordata; Mammalia; Eulipotyphla; Soricidae
Description: Small nucleolar RNA SNORA72 (ENSSARG00000014901.1)
Rfam family: Small nucleolar RNA SNORA72
About the family: U72 is a member of the H/ACA class of snoRNAs. The snoRNA gene is located in intron 4 of the ribosomal L30 protein gene in human, mouse and chicken.
Source: RNAcentral
CUGUGAGUAUUCUCGCUGUUCUGAUUUUGUAAUAAUCAGAGUAGAUUUGUUAUAAUAAGACCAUGAUUGUGUCCCCAGGCCUAAUUCUUUACUACCUAGGUCUGACUUUAGAAAUGUUGGUGAUAAAU